Molecule: long non-coding RNA, 1025 nt
Filed under: Homo sapiens (human)
Lineage: Eukaryota; Metazoa; Chordata; Mammalia; Primates; Hominidae
Description: HSALNT0300818
Source: RNAcentral
UAGCAUUUUUCCAGUGUGUGAAAAUCUCUGGCCUCAAAGCACACUUGUGGGAACCCAUAAUUGAGUCUGAGAUCAUCCAACAGCAGCAGAAAGCUCUUACAGCCCCGAGAGCCUCAGGGAGCCAGGAAGCUUACAGAACCUUGCUGAAAAACACGGGAUCUAUAGCUAAAUCCAGAAAGCCCCCGGAGACCAUUUGGACCAACCCCUCCCACAGAAGAUACAGAAUGCCAAAUAUUCCAAUGUAAGGAUGGUCCUGAGAAAAAAGAUCCUUGGAAGUCUUUAGAGUGGUAAUCAUAUGCCAAUGUCCCUGCUGAGAGAUGGUAUAACCUCAUGUUGAACAGCUGCUGUUAGAGUGGUUAAAGCCCUGACCCCUGCCAUUCACUAUGGGAGAAGACAGCAACAGCUUUUCUGCCCCACUGGUGUUCUCUAGGGCUUUCUGACCCAGGUCCUCAUCAGCGCAGUCCCUAGCGUUGAGCCCAGCAACCCUAGGAUCAAGGCCUUGAAAGACAAGGUUUUGGGAUCUCCCAAAGGAGGCUGAUUUCACACAAAGGACCACGGACUGGUAGUCAGAAGACCUGAGUUCUGUUCCCAGCUCCAACACACAUUGCAGCAAGACCGUGGUCAAAUCACUUGCUGUUUCUGAGACUUAUUUUCUUGCUCUGUAAAAAUGAAUCAGUGAACUAAAUCAUCUGAAGUGAUCUCCCCUGACCAGCUCCCUCAGCCCUCACCAACAAAAAACUAAUGUCCAUGAUACAACACUAUUGCUAUUACAUUAUUCAAUUAAUCUUAGUGUGCUUAAUUGAAAGACAAUAAUAACUUUCUCCUAAAACUGGGGCAAAAACUGCAUUAGGUAAUUAACUAAACUGCUUGCCUAGAACAUAGCAGGUGUUCAAUAAUAGGUUUUUACUAUUUGCACUUAUUUGUUAAUGAGAAAGAGAACUAAAAUCUUGUAUUAAAAAGUUGUACUUUGGCUGGGUGCAGUGGCUUACACCUGUAAUCCCAGCACUUUGGGAGGCCAAGGCAGG